RNAcentral lists this long non-coding RNA (205 nucleotides) under Daucus carota (carrot). Its description in RNAcentral is "long non-coding RNA (DCAR_LNC006215)". Lineage: Eukaryota; Viridiplantae; Streptophyta; Magnoliopsida; Apiales; Apiaceae. The record is from RNAcentral.
CAAUCAGAAGCAAACACUAACUCUUGGUAUGUGUUUGGAGGAAAAUGCCUCUUUACAAGUCUUGCAUUUUGAAGAUCAAAGAAUAUUUUCCUCGGCUACUCUAUGGAGUCUAAAGUCUACAGGGUGAUUGUGAUUAAUCAACAGAAGGUGAUUGUAAGUCUGGACAAGAGAUUGAACGACACUUUGCUCCAAGCUGUUAAAGGUG